AGCGAACGCUGGCGGCAGGCCUAACACAUGCAAGUCGAACGAACUCUUCGGAGUUAGUGGCGGACGGGUGAGUAACACGUGGGAACGUGCCUUUAGGUUCGGAAUAACUCAGGGAAACUUGUGCUAAUACCGAAUGUGCCCUUCGGGGGAAAGAUUUAUCGCCUUUAGAGCGGCCCGCGUCUGAUUAGCUAGUUGGUGAGGUAAAGGCUCACCAAGGCGUCGAUCAGUAGCUGGUCUGAGAGGAUGAUCAGCCACAUUGGGACUGAGACACGGCCCAAACUCCUACGGGAGGCAGCAGUGGGGAAUCUUGCGCAAUGGGCGAAAGCCUGACGCAGCCAUGCCGCGUGAAUGAUGAAGGUCUUAGGAUUGUAAAAUUCUUUCACCGGGGACGAUAAUGACGGUACCCGGAGAAGAAGCCCCGGCUAACUUCGUG
This 433-nucleotide ribosomal RNA is filed under the name uncultured bacterium. Its description in RNAcentral is "partial 16S ribosomal RNA". It matches the Rfam family "Bacterial small subunit ribosomal RNA", at positions 29 to 507 of the family's 1533-position model. The record is from RNAcentral.